GUGCUCAUUUCGGCAGCACAUACACUAAAAUUGGAAUGAUACAGAGAAGAUUAGCAUGGCCCCUGUGCAAGGAUGAUUGUUAAUCCUCUUAAACACUGUUUAAUUUA
Small nuclear RNA from Ochotona curzoniae (black-lipped pika), 107 nucleotides. The record is from RefSeq and is a predicted model, not a curated record. NCBI's taxonomy places the organism in Eukaryota, Metazoa, Chordata, Mammalia, Lagomorpha, Ochotonidae.